UUUCGCUAGCUUCAGUCCCCACCUCUCAGUACCGGUCCUUUGCUAGUCUGAAAUUUUCAAUAUCGUCACACUAAUUUAUUGCUUUAAUCUUAGCAGGAUUUGUGUUGGAUGAUGGACUUACUUAUUAAAAUACUUAGGAAGGUUUAUGCUGAAUAGCAACCAUUCUCAAUUUGGAGUCUGCAUCAACCAAUGACUCGAUACUUCUUAGUUUGAGCGCGGGUCAAGUUAAUGAUGAAUUGGUGCAACGGUUAAUGUAAUGGUUGUGUGAGCUCUUUGAGCAGGUCGGGCUUGGUCUGUUGCAAGGUUUAGUAUAGUAUAGUAAUGUGGGGACUUGUUAUGAAGGUAUGUGGUUGCGUGUAUUUGACUUAAAUGAAUGUUUAUGAGUUAUUCAUAUCGAGCCAGGGUAUAUGUUAUAAGUU
Lathyrus oleraceus (garden pea) is the source of this 419-nucleotide long non-coding RNA. RefSeq lists it as uncharacterized. The record is from RefSeq and is a predicted model, not a curated record. Lineage: Eukaryota; Viridiplantae; Streptophyta; Magnoliopsida; Fabales; Fabaceae. The transcript is spliced from 2 exons.